This 384-nucleotide long non-coding RNA is filed under the name Homo sapiens (human). RNAcentral's name for it is "HSALNT0389755". Lineage: Eukaryota; Metazoa; Chordata; Mammalia; Primates; Hominidae. The record is from RNAcentral.
CAGAAAGAGACACUUUAAUAUGAAGGAAUCGAACAGCUUCAGGAAGCUAUAGGCAUCCACUGAUUCAAACUGCAAUGAGCCCAGUGCUCGGUUCCCUGCUUGGUUGAUGUGGGGUUUUGUGGGCUCAGGGCAGGAGGUUUGUUAAAGUAGAGAAAUGGGAGUGUGACUUUUUCAGAAGGUGAGUUACGCGUUCCGGGCAGUCAGUGCACUGCUCAGCAGGAGGAGGUCCUGCAGGUGGUGCUGCAAGGGGUCGGCUGGCCGCAGGGGGGCCGGCAGCAGGGGGACUGCACAGACACAGGCUGGCAGCAGGGGGGCCGGCAGCAGGGGGACUGCACAGACACAGGCUGGCAGCAGGUGGUGGCCCAGCAGCAGGGCCUGCACACC